This is a non-coding RNA of Oryctolagus cuniculus (rabbit), 6707 nucleotides long. Lineage: Eukaryota; Metazoa; Chordata; Mammalia; Lagomorpha; Leporidae. The record is from RefSeq and is a predicted model, not a curated record.
UAGGUGUCCUAUUUAUAGGCUUAUGGGACAUGAAGAGUUAAUAAAAGUUAAAUAGAGAUGACACAAUAGAGUUUCUGUUUUUAGAAGCAAGCUGCAGCUGCCAUGGGAAGAAUGAAUUACUAGGAGAGCAGCAUAGAGGCAGGGAGACCAAGUCAGAGAAAGGAAGCUGACCUGAGCUAAGGGCAAUGGCCUGGCCACGAAGACACUGCUUGCGACUCAAGAUAUAUUUUGGAAAAAGAGCAACAGAAGUCACCUGUGUUGCUGGGGUAAAGAGAAGACAGUAUAAAAUUUGAAGCAAAUAUGAAAAGUGAAGACUGAGGGAAGCAGGUAUACAAAGGCAGAGUGGACAGUGAGAAAGAGAGAGAGAGAGAAAGGUCUUCCUUUUCCGUUGGUUCACCCCCCGGCCAGCGCAUCACACUGAUCCAAAUCCAGGAACCAGGUGCUUUUGGUCUCCCAUGGGGAUGCAGGGCCCAAGGACCAGGGCCAUCCUGCAUUGCACUCCUGGGCCACAGUAGAGAGCUGCACAGGAAGAGGAGCGACCAGGACAUAAUCUGGCACCCCGACCGGGACAGAAUCUGGCACCCCAACCGGGACUAGAACCCCGUGUGCUGGCGCUGCAGGUGGAGGAUUAGCCUAGUGAGCCGCAGCGCCGGCCUGAUAAUGCAUUCAUAAUGUGGUGGUACUAUCAACACGAUCCACCUCAAGAAGUCUUCAUUAUGUGCAAGUGAGACUCUGUACCCAUUAAACAGUAACUUCCAUUCUCCCUUUCUCCCCAGCCCAUGGCAAACUCUAUUUUUACUUCCUCUAUGAUUUUGACUACUCUAAGUACUUCGUAUAAGCUGAAUCAUGCAGUAUGAGAGUAGUUCAAAAUGUUUGUGGAAAAACAUAUAAAAAUUGGGUUUUUGGUGUAAAAAAAUUGAAAUCCAGGCAUAGUUUUGUGUUUUUUUUUUCAGAAUGCUAAUUUGUCAUGAGAUUUUUGAAGACCCCUCACAUUUGCCUUGUUGUUGACUGGCUUAUUUCACUUAGGAAAAUGCCCUCAGGGUUCAUCUGUGCUGUAGCAUAUAUCAGAAUUUCCUUCUGUUGAAGGCUGACUGUGGUACGUGUGCGCUGCACUUUGCUUAUUGAGGCAUCUCUCGAUGGACACUUAGGUUGUAGCCACAUUUCAGUGUCGUGAAUAAUGCUGCUGUGGACAUGGGAGUGCAAAGCUUUCUUCAAGAUUUUUUCAGUUAUUUUGGGUAUGCACCCAGAAGGGGAAUUCCUGGAUCAUACAGUCAUAUCCCAAAAGUCAUUGCCAAAUCCAGCAUCAUAGAGCCUUUGCUCUGUGUUUUCUUCUGAGGUCUGCAGUGUUAGCUGUUACAUUGAAGUCUUGAUCCAUUUCUAGUUAACUUUUGUGAUAUCACUUCAUCUACAAAUUCUUCAGUAUACAUCUCUAUGAGCAGGUCUGGCUUCACUGUCUCAGAGCACAACCUCUAAGCCACCUGUCUGGCUGACAGGUUCUGAAAUGGAAUCCACAAGGUGGAAAUCAUCCAAGGAAUCCCGGGAGUGAGCUUUCCUCUGCACUGGUAUACAAGGUUGCUCUCUGCUUAGGGAAGCUCUCUGAAGUUAUUGUUACCAUGUGAAUCAAGUUUCACUCCUUGGCAGCCCUUUUAGGAGUGGAAAAAACUGGGACUUGCUCAGACCUGUUGAGUCACAUGCGAGGUGAUCUCAUCCAGCAACACAGUGAAGGACGCAGGGGUAAGCCAGGCUGCGAAUCCAUCUGUGGGGGAAUUUGACAGAGGUGUGAUGACCUUAUGUACCCAAUGUCUUUGAGAAAAAGAUCUUGUUACCUGCCAUCGCAGGUGUCUGCUCCUGGAAAAUAGCUGCCCACUCAACACAGUUGUUCUGAUUGCUUUUAUUUACCAUGAGAUAGGUCCUUGACACAGGAUCAAAUGAGACAUAUGUGUGUAGAGGAAUGCAUGUUAACUUGAGCACCAUGUUCCCACCACCAAGUCUAAAUAAUACUCAGCCUCCUGGAAGACCCUGGGCCUCCCUCCUCACAUCCACUUCUCUUCCCCAAGGUGGCCACUGUGGCCAACUUGUGGAAAUCAUCUCUGUGCUUUGCUCUUUGGUGUCACUGCUAGGUGUGCCCUGCUAAACAAGCACCUGUUUGUGACCUACAUAUAAAUGGAAUUAUAGUGUACAUAUUCUCCAUGAUUUGCUUCUUCCUCACAACCAUUCUUAGACACUUGGGUGCCCAGCGACCUUCUCAGGCUGUGAAUCUAUGAGUCUGCUCUGGCCUUGAAGUCACAUUGGCUAGCCUUGGUCUCCUAGCCCAGCCACAUACCAACUUUGUGACUGCUCUUUCCCUCCUUUGUAAAAUUGGGACAGUGUGCCUCUGGACACAAGCACCUCCCAGGGGAGACAUGUGUCUCAUUUGUCAUUUUGUCCUUAGCAAUGCAAGUGCCCUGUGUUUGAUGGAUCUUGAGUGAAUAAAGGAGUUGUGUAAGACAGUACAAGUAAGGGCCCUACACCAUACCAGAUUCAUGGCAGGUGUUCAAUACGUGGGAGCUAAUAUGGUGAUUGUCCCUGGCAUUGUUUAUUUGAAUAUGUACCUGCCUAUGGUAGGCAGCCUCUAAACUGGCUGCCAGUAGCCCUGCCCCUGUUCCCUUGUAUUUCUAUGUCCCUUGAGCAUAAAUUGGACUUACUGGCAUACUUCUAACAAAUAGAAUGCAGCAGAAGAGAGAGAAUGUCUUAGUCUGUUUCAUGUGGCUAUAAAAGUAUACUUGAGACUGAAGAAAUUAUUUUCCAGAGUUUUGGUGGCUAAGAAGGCCAUGAUCAAGACAUAGGCAUGUGGCUAAACUGAUCUUCUGUAUAUAAAGAGAAACGAAAAUGAAUCUUGAUGUGAAUGGAAGGGGAGAGGGAGUGGGAAAGGGGAGGGUUGCGGGUGGGAGGGACGUUAUGGGGGGAAGCCAUUGUAAUCCAUAAGCUGUACUUUGGAAAUUUAUAUUCAUUAAAUAAAAGUUAAAAAAAAAAGACAUAGGCAUGUGAUGAGGGCUUUUAGGUUGAGCCCUCACACAGCAGAAGACAGAAGGGCAAGAGGGGGAUGAAUGUUGUGUGCCCACAUAGUAGAAGAGCAGGAAAGAGAGAACCUCUCCACAAGCUCUUUUUCUAGUGGCAAGAAUCCACCCCUGAAGGCCAAGUGAACUCUCAAGACCUAAAUGCCUCUCAGCUCACUGCAUGGGGGAUCAAGUCUUCAACACAUAAAUCUGGGGGACACUUUCAGACAACAGCAUAGGAUGUGAUUUCCAAGAUUGCGUAAAAAGACUGUAGCACCCAUCUGGGGUCCUCUUGCUAUUUUUUGGAUUGCUCCCCUUGGAGGAAGCCAGCUGCCUGGAGAGGCCCAUGAGAUGAAGGGCUAAGGCCUGCCAACACGCACAUAAGGGAGUCUGGAAGUCGAUUCUCCACCUUGUUGAGCCUCCUAAUGCAGUCACAGCUGACAGCUUGACUGUGACCUCAUGGGAGACCUGCAGCUGGUGUCACUCAGCCCAGCCAUGCCAAGGUUCCUGACCACAGAAACUGUGAGAUGACUAAUAUUGGUGUUGUUUUCAAUUUUAUUUGAAAGACAGGGUGAUGGAGACAGAGGCUUUUCCAUCAGCUGGUUUACUUCUCAAAUGGCUGCAAUAGCCAGUGCUGGCCCAGACUGAAGCCCAGAGACCAGAACUCCAUCCAGGUCUCCCACAUGGGAGGUAGAGCUCCAAAUGCUUGACCCCAGAUUCACCUCCCAGAUAGUCACACCAGCAAGAAGCUGGGUCAGAAAUGAAGCCAAGACUCAAACCCAGGCACUCCAACAUGGGACACAGCAUUGCAAGUGACACCCUAACCACUGCACCAAAUGCCUGCGUCUGCUUUGAGCUGCUACAUUUUGGGGCAAUUUGUAAAACAGCCAUAGAUAACCAAGUAGCUGCCUCCCCUUGGGUGAAGAGUGCUGGCAGUCUUUAGAGAAUGUGUCAGACACGGAGAUGCAUUGUUCAGAUCCCCACUUAAGGAUGGACUCACUGCCCAACUGCAAGGAGCUCAGCUAAGUGACAGCCUCCAGGGUCCACAUCAGCUUUCAAGUUGAGCUAAUGCUCUUCUUGGGGCACUCUCCCUAGCCAGUGCUGAGCAAGGUAGUAGUGUGAGGGCCUGACCAUCUCUGCCCACGCUGGACUCCAUCUGUGUGUAGUCUUUGCUUCAGAGCUCUGUGGUAGGCUGGCAGACUUGGUCAGGUCUGCCUUGGGGUUUUCUUCUGUGAGUGUUGCUCCCUAAUAAGUCUUUCUCAUUUCAAGCCCCAUCCUGGCCUCUGCUUCCUAGAGAACCCAUUCUGCAAGUGAAGACCACAUCAUCUGCUUUCAGGGCCGAUGUUGUGGUCCAGCAGUUGAGGGACGGCUUGCAACACCAUGAUCUAAUAUGAGUGUCAGUUCCAGUCCUGGCUGCUCUGCUUCCAAUACAGCUCCUUGCUAACACACCUAAGAAGGCAGCAGAAGAUGGCCCAAGCACUUGGGCCUCUGCCACCCACAUGGGAGACCUGAAUGGAAUUCCUGGCUCCUGAUUUCAGCCUGGCCCAGCCCUGAUUGUACCUGAUGGUAGCAGCCAUUCAGGGAGUAAAUCAGCAGGUGAAAGAUAUUCUCUCUCUCUCUCUCUGUCACUCUACCUUUCAAAUAAAUAAAUCUUUAAAAACAGAAGAAGGGGCCAGUGGAGUGGCAUAGCCAGUGAACCUGCUGCCUGCAGUGCUGGCAUCCCAUAAGGACCCUGGUUUGAGUCCUGGCUGCUCUACUUCCAAUCCAGCUUUUUGCUAUGGCCUAGGAAAACAGUAGGAGAUGGCCCAAGUCCUUGGGCCCCUGCACCCACGUGAGAGACCCAGAAGAAGCUCCUGGCUUCUGGAUUUGUGUUAUUAUUAUUAUUAUUUGACAGGUAGAGUUAUAGCUAGUGAGAGAGAGAGAGACUAGAAAAAGAUAUUCCUUCCAUUGGUUCACUCCCCAAAUGGCCGCAAUGGCCAGCACUGCAUUGAUCUGAAGCCAGGAGUCAGGUGCUUCUUCCUGGUCUCCCACGCAGGUGCAGGGGCCCAAGCACCUAGGUCAUCCUCCACUGCCCUCCCAGGCCAUAGCAGAGAGCUGGACUAGAAGAGGAGCAACCAGGACUAGAACCUGGCACCCAUAUGGGGUGCUGGCACCACAGGUGGGAGAUUAACCAAGUGAGCCACGGCGCCAGCCCCAUGGCUCCUGGCUUUGGAUCAGCACAGCUCUCGCUGUUGCAGCCAUCUGGUGAGUAAACCAGUGCAUGGAAGACCUCUCUCUCUGUCUCUGCCUCUGCCUCUCUUUAACUCUGCCUUUCAAAUAAAUCAAUAAAUCUUUAAAAAGAGGAAGAAGAAGAAAAGGAGGAGGAAGAAGAAGAAGAGGAAGAGGAAAAAGAAGAAGAGGAGGAAAAAGAAGAACAAGAGGAUGAGGAAGAAGGAGAAGAGAAAGAGAAAGAGAAGGAGAAGAAGAAGAAGAAGAAGAAGUAGAAGAAGAAGAAGAAGAAGAAGAAGAAGAAGAAGAAGAAGAAGAAGAAGAAGAAGAAGAAGAAGAAGAAACCCAAGCUUUCUAGUUAGCCCAGAUCUGAAUCCAAGUACACACUCCACGUGGCUGGUCCUAUGACCCUGAGCAAGUUACUUAACUCUUCUGAGCCUUACUUUCCUCCCAUGUAAAAUAGAUAGCAAAUGAUGUUGGAACUGAAGUGAGAUAUUUAUCAAAUGCAUAACAGAAAGCCCAGCACACAGUAAGUUCUAAAGGACAAUCAUUAAGUAUCCAGGGCAACACAGCAAUUAACCCCUUGUCAUGUCCCAAUUUUUAUUGGAAAUUUGCUCAAUACAUUGUCUAUUAUGUUGAUUAUCGGUCUUUGACACUCAGGUGGAUUCUCCGUUACCUCUGUGAAACUUCAAGCCUCCAAACACCACCAUAGCUCAUGUUGUUACCCAUAAAAUGAAUAAAGUACAACUCAGGAUUUCACGUGACUCCUUUAGGUCCUUGACAGCUCUAUACAUAAGGACCAAAACCUUUAUAAAGCUGUUAAAAUUAGGGUGGCUGGCAUCACGCUAAAGCAGCUUGGUGAACUGUUUCUUUUGUGUGCCUUGGACUUGAUCACUUGAGAAGACUGAGCUACCUUUUUAAUAAACACAGAUGUGGGGAACUGAACAGAUCCAAACCUGCUCCUCUCAUGGUCUGCCUCUCCUUGGUGGAUAAUUUCAAGCCCCAGAAAAUGGAGAGCCACCUAUGGUAGGUUGCUCUCGCUUUCAUCCCCAACCAUCUCCAGUCCAGCUCAGCAUCUGACCUGUUCUCCCUUCAAACACCUUGAAUCCUUCACCUCUUUUCAUCCCCAGUACCUCCCCAGGCUCUCUUCCUUUAAGAGUUUCCCAACUGACCCUCCUUCUGGUCCCUACAGACCAGCUAGAGAGAUCUUUUUAAAAUGCUAAUGGGGGCCCACACUGUGGGUAAAACUGCCACCUGUAGUGCCGGAAUCCCAUAUGGGUGCCCCUUCGAUUCCUGGCUGCUCCACUUCCAAUCCAGCUCUCUGCUAUGGCCUGGGAAAGCAGAAGAUGGCCCAAGUUCUUGGGCCUCUGCACCCAAGUGGGAGACCUGGAAGAAGCUUCUGACUCCUGGCUUUGGAUUGUUGAGGCCAACUGGGGAGUGAACCAAUGGAUGGAAGAUCCCCCA